CCCUAAUUUUUCACUUAGUUCAUUCUGAGACCCUGGAGAGUCCAGUUUUUCUUACUGCAGUUUCUUCCUUUGUAUAGCAGAGAAGGCGCAGAGGAGCCGGCCAGGAGCAGUGGGGAGGCAGUGCACCUUGCAUUUGUUCGGUGUUGGGUUCGAGUCCCUGCUCUCCUGCUAGUUGUCUGUGUGACUUGGACAGGCAUCCGCUGGCUCUCUGAACCUCAGACCCCUGCUCUGUGAUGGGGAGGGCAUGGCUGAGCCCGUUUGCUAGAGCUGCUGGGGUUUAAUGAGGCUGUGGGUGUGGAGCUCCAAGCAGAGUACCUGGCACUUCCCCCAGCAACAGGACGGAGGCACCCUCGCCCUGUGUCUGUGAUCAUCGUUCAGCGCUCACCUCCAGACAAAAGCUUCUCCCACCCUCCUUGCUAGAAGGGGUGGUGACUUCCGUUCCUGAAUUUCCAGAGCCUGAACCAGACAGGUGCAGGAGACCAGCCUGAGCCAGAGUGGCUGGUGACACUGUGGCUAGACUGUGACAGCUGCUGGGAUGCCCUGGGGGACACGUUUAGGGUCCUGUUACCAAAAGCCUGAGGCUGCUGAGAAAGAAAAAGGCAGCCUCUGAUGGCUGGGAGCUGGCCUGCAUGCACUGCUGGACCUUGGUGUUCUCCUGCAGAACGUAAUUUCACAGCACCCUACAAGACAACUUUCUGACCAGCAUGGAGCAAGACAAAAACAUGACCGCAUGAAACACGGACAUUGUUGAAACCACCAAAAUGACCGGACAGCAUCCUCCCCUGUAUACUCUGAGUGUCUGCUGCUGCCUUACCAAGGGCAGUCUCAGCCUCUUUUUGUUCUUCCUGCCUUUAGGGUAAGAUUCGCAGUUCCCACUCAGAGUUAUCAUGCCUCCCAAGAGCAUCUGACUAGAGCAAAGCCCUGGGUCCUUGAACUCUCCUCACAUCGCCCAACUCAGCCUUUUCUUUUCUGUCCUUUCCGACACUUCCGGAUGCACCCUGCACUGUCUCCCUGUGCUGGGUGGCUUCCUGGCUGCAAUGAGUUC
This is a long non-coding RNA of Artibeus jamaicensis (Jamaican fruit-eating bat), 1045 nucleotides long. RefSeq lists it as uncharacterized. Lineage: Eukaryota; Metazoa; Chordata; Mammalia; Chiroptera; Phyllostomidae. The record is from RefSeq and is a predicted model, not a curated record. The transcript has 4 exons.